Molecule: long non-coding RNA, 5817 nt
Organism: Pteropus alecto (black flying fox)
Lineage: Eukaryota; Metazoa; Chordata; Mammalia; Chiroptera; Pteropodidae
Exons: 2
Source: RefSeq, a predicted model, not a curated record
CCAGGAAUAGCUUGUCCGUUAGAGGACAGUAGGAGAGUCUGAUCAACUCCCGAGGUCACCCGAUUACAUUUGUUGGAGGAAACAGUGACCUCUCAGGUCCCCGAACAGCCAACUUCUUCCAAGCCGUCCAUCCCAGCCCCUUCGACUUCUCUUGGGACCCCAUCCAUGCCAGCCUCCAUUGACUUGCCACCACCUCCUGUCUUGACCCCUACGGUUCCGCCGGACUCCAGCCCAAGGUGUCUCCAGUCACGGAGGAAGCGCUUCGGUUGCCCUCACAGGAAACCCCAGGUCCCAUCUAUUAUAAUCAGGACAGUCAAAUUCAGGGAGGCCAGCACACCUUCAUCUAUCAACCCUUCACCACUACCAAUCUCCUGAACUGGAAGAAUCAUACUCUCCUUCACUGAGAAGCCUCAGGUCAUAAUUGACCUCCUCCAAUUGAUUAUCCAGAUUCACAAACCCACUUGGGCCAAUUGCUGACAACUCCUCCUGACCCUUUUUAACACUGAAGAGCACUGGCACAUCACCCAGGCCGCCUUGAAAUGUUAGAGGAACAUGCUCCAGAAUGAACCUUGAAUGUGCAAACAUACGCCCAGAAUCAGUUUUCUGAGGAGGACUCCCAGUGGGACCCCAAUGAUGACAGGGAACUUCAGAUGUUAGAACGAUACCGGGAGGCUCUCCUAGGUGGUCUUAAGAAAGGCCAUGAAUAUGAGCAAGACUUCAGAAGUCCAAGGACCAGAAGAGAGUCCAGGCCAUUUCUUUGAGAGGCUUUGUGAGGCUUUCCGUCUCUACACCCCCUUUGACCCAGAAGCAACUGAGAAUCAGAGGAUGGUCAAUGCGGCUUUUGUUGGGCAGGCCCAAGGAGACGUUUGGUGCAAACUGCAAAACCUGGAAGGCUUCGCUGGCAUGAAUAUCAGCCAACUCCUUGAAGUCACAACCAUGGUCUUCAUCAGUUGCGACCAAGAACCCCACUGAGAGGCUGACUGAAAGAUGAAGAAGAAAGUUGACUUACUUAGAGCUGCUCUGGUAGAGUGGUCAGUCCAGGCUCCCUAGAAAAAGUGCCCCACAAGGUUGGGGAAAAAAACCAGUGAGGAGGUCAACCAGGGAGACCCCCCACCAUGAAAACAAGACUGGGACAAGACCAAUGUACAUACUACCAACAGCGGGGCUACUGGAAAAACGAGUGUCCCCAAUGACCAGGUGGGCUAUCAGUGGCUCCUGGUCCCCGAAGACACAGCCAAGUCAUACAAGGGUGCUAUCAGCUGACUCGCCCAUCACCAGGUUAUCCUAGGGACAACUUUGUUGGCCUUGCCACCCUGGAAGAAUUUGGAGAUGACUAAGCCAGACUGGGCUUUAUUCUGCUGGGCCCCCAGGAGCCUAUGGUCCAAAUGACAGUUGGGGGCCGACCAACUGACUUUAUAGUUGACAUUGGAGCUGAACACUCAAUUUUAACUUGGUUUGUGGUCCCCCUUUCUUAAAGACAAACUACCAUUAUGGGAGCCACCAGGGUAUGAGUCUGUUGCCCCUUUCUGCAGCCUUGUUGGUGCAACCUAGGAGGACGAGAAGUCAUCCACGAAUUCCUAUAUCUGCCUGACUGCUCUGUGGCACUGAUGAGAUGAGACCUUUUAGGAAAACUACAGGCUCAGAUUACCUUUGACUCAUGUGGCCAAGCAGAUCUUUGCUUGGGGGGGCCAGAAGCAAAGAUCAUGUCGAUCAUGGUUCCCCAAGGAGAAGAGUGGUGCCUCUGUAGUCUCGUAGGAGGGUCCCAACAGGAACCUGAGCUCCCUUCAAGGUGCCCAGAGUGUGGGCUGAAGACAGCACUCCAGGACUGGCCCAACACAUUCCUCCAGUGGUGGUGGAGUUAAAACCUGGAGCUGAGCCAGCCCGCCAGAAACAGUGUUUCUUCCCCCAUAAGGCACAAGUGGGGAUCCAGAAACAUUUAGAGAGACUUUUGAAGUAUGGAAUUCUGCGUCCCUGCCAAUCAUCCUGGAAUAUGCCUCUCCUGCCAGUUCAGAAGCCAGGGACCAGUGAAUACCGGUAGGUCCAAGAUUUACGAGCAGUUGACCUGCACCCUGUCGUCACCAAUUCAGAAUACUCUCUUAGGCCUCAUCCUCACUGAGGCAACCUAUUUCACCUGUCUGGACCUCAAGGUCCUUUCUUGUGCAUCUCCCUGGCUUCUCAGAGUCAGCCAAUCUUUGUCUUCCAAUGGGAAAGCCCUGAAAGCGGAGACAGGGCCAGCUGACAUGGACACGUCUGCCUCAGGGGUUCAAGAUCUCCCCGACCAUCUUUGGGACAGCUCUAGCCUUGGACUUAAAGGCUAUUCCGGCAGACCAGCACAGCUUUACAUUACUCCAGUAUGUAGAUGACCUCCUCUUAGCAAGAAAAACCUGUGGGGAAUGCAUGGAAGGAACACAUCUACUCCUCAAUCUCCUCUGGGAAGCGGGUUACAAGGUCUCUAAAAGGAAAGUUCAAAUCUGCCAAGAAAGAGUUAAGUACCUCAGCUUCCACCUGUCAUAGGGACAAUGUCAACUUGGCCUGGAAAGGAAACAAACAGUCACCUCGAUUCCCAUCCCUACCACCUGGCGACAAGUCCGCGAAUUCCUCGGAGCAGCUGGUUUCUGCAGAAUCUGACUACCUAAUUUCUCCAUUCUGGCCAAACCCCUCUAUGAAGCCACAAAGCAGGGAGAAUGGGAGCCUCUGCUCUGGGAACCUACACAACAGAAGGCCUUUGAUGAAAUUGAACGGGUGCUCAUUAACGCCCCCGGACUAGGACUCCCAGACUUAACCAAAUCUUUCUUGCUGUACGUACAUGAGUGCACAGAUGUCACAGUAGGGGUCGUAACCCAACUGCUAGGAUCUUAGUACCGUCUUGUGUCUUAUCUCUUCAGACAGCUUGAUUCUGUCACCCAGGGCUGGCCACCUUAUCUGUGAGCACUCGCAGCAGCCACUUCUCUUGUGUCAGAAGCAGACAAGUUGACUCUAGGACAAGCAGUGACAAUCCGGGUCCCCCAUUCUGUCCUGGCCUUAUUAAAAUAUAAAGGACGCUAUGAGCUCACCAAUGCCUGGAUGGCCAAAUACCAAGGAAUGCUGUGUGAGAACCCCAAAUCUGGGCACCUUACUGCCAGUGGGACCUGAACAACCAGAUCCUGACUGUAUUGAAGUCAUAGACGAGGUUUUUUCUAGCCGCCAGACUUAACUGACCAACCCCUCAAAAGCCCUAAUGUGGAAUACCACACUGAUGGCAGCAGCUUCGUCACAGGAAAUAAGCAUCUCACCGGGUAUGAAGUAAUAACCUUGCAUUCUACUAUUGAGACAAAGUCUUUGCCUCAAGGAACCUCAGCACAGAAGGCAAGAGUUCAUCGCUUUGACCUACGCCCUUCAGCUGGCAGCAGGAGUGUGUGCAAACAUAUACACUGACUCUAAGUAUGCCUUCACCACCCUCCAUGCAAAUGGAGCCCUAUACAAAGAGAUGGGUCUAAUCAAUUCAGGGGGGAAAGACAUAAAAUAUAGAAAGGAAAUUCUAGAACUCUUAGAUGCUUUGUGGGCCCCCAAGCAGGUAGCAGUCAUGCUCUGCAGGGGACACCAAAAGGGGGACGCCAUAAUGGCCUGGGGCAACUGCAGGGCAGACCACGUUGCCAAACUGGCAGCGGCCAAGGAGAUGGCCAGCCCUACGACUCUUAACUGCUCCCAUUUCCCAGUCCCUUAGCCAAAUGGGACCCCAAGUACUCGCCUCAAGAAAAAGCUUGGUUUAAGACCGAGAGGGGAGCCUCCUCCCUGGUGGAUGGUGGCAGUUCAAGGACAGGCAAAUUGUAGUCCCUGGGACCCUAGCCCCAGCUUUUGUCAUGCAGUUUUACCAAAGGUUCCUCUGCCCUAGAAACCACUCUGGGCCGGUACUUCUACAUCCCCCAGCUCUCCAGCAUCUUCCGAGCAGUGUGUGAACGAUGCAAAGUCUGUAUCCACAACAACCCCAGGCAAGGGCCAUAUGCCCCACCAGGAGUCCAAAGUGUCAGUGGCACCCGCUUUGAAGAACUCAAAGUAGACUUCAGUGAAAUGCCUCGAUCAUGCGCCUCAAGUAUCUCUUGCUCUUUGUGUGCUCCCAUUCCAGUUGGGUAGUAUUAUCUCAUCCAGACUGAGAAGGCCCGAGAAGUAGCCAGACCGUUUGUCUGAGAAAUUGUUCCACGAUUUGGCCUACCAAUUACCAUUGGCUCAGAUAACAGGCCAGCCUUUGUAGCAGAAAUAAUGCAGCUACUAGCCAAAAAUUUAAAUAUUAAAUGGAAAUUGCAUACUGCCUAUUGACUACAGAGUUUGGGACAGGUGGAACGCAUGAACAGGACCCUUAAGACUCAGUUGAGAAAACUAUGUCAGGAGACACAUGUACACUGCGACGAAGUCCUCCCCAUGGCACUAUUAAGAAUCAAGUUGGCCCCAACCAAGAAGACUGCGUUCUCCCCCUAUGAGAUCCUUUAUGGGUGGCCACCACCACUCAUAAAAGGACUACGAGGAGACCUCAAGGAAAUCAGUGAAUUGACUCUGAAACAACAGCUUCAGGCCCUAGGGACCACCUUCCAGACUCUCAACCAAUGGCUUAGGGAAAGGCUCCCUGUCAGUUUAACCAUUGAACUUCAUCCCUUUAAGCCAGGAGACUCUUUCUGAGUAAAAGAGUGGAACAUUCAACCCCUAAAACUCCUGUGGAGAGGCCCCUUUACCGUCAUUGUGUCUACCCCCACUGCAGUUAAGGUUGCCGAAAUAACGCCCAGGAUACAUCGCAGCAGACUUAAACCCGCAGCUGCAGAGUGAGAAUGUGUUCCAGACUCCUCCUAGCCUCUUAAGGCAACCCUCGAGAAGAAAACACUGACUGCACCGACAAACCAAGGGUAAGACAUUGGCCCUGCUUUGGUCACACCAGAAGCUGACCAAUCUACACAUGGCAGAAGCCUGAGGACAUCUCAUCAGGAUGGCACCCCUAAAGACUCUUUUCUUUCUCCUCCUACUCUGCCACAUGUGUGGCACCAGUCUCCCAACUUCUUCCCCUUGUACUCAUUGCAUGCAGAAGUAUAGGUUAGGGUCCAACAUUGCUACAGGCUUCACUUCCAUAACCGGCCUACCUGAAGGGUGUGCCCUAAACGCCACGCUCUGCACUCAUUGGGGAUUCCAAUAUUGGAUGGGUUACAUAAAGAUUAAAUCUGAGAGUGGCCAAUCCUGCCAAGAGCCUGAAAAAUUAGGGGAAACUUGGUCAUGUUGGCAAUGGACCUCAAGUGGGAGAAAGAUCCAUAACCAUGCAGAGGGUCCAGCAGUCGGAGAAAUUGUCCGGUGGCUACAUAGUCCAACCGCACCUAAGCCUACACCAUCUCCAAGGCCCCAAAGCCCACAAAUGUAUGAUCAACUAAAGGCCACCUUAGGCCAAAACUUAGACCUCCUUUAUAGAGACUAUAGUAGAAAGGAAAACUACAACAAAAGCCCUCGUGCUAUGGAAGUACCAGCCCCUAAACCAAGAACUGGAAGAAAGAGAUGAUGCUCUCUAACCCAGUCCUGGGUCCAAGCAUCAAAGUGGGGAAUGUGGCGAUCUGAUCCUGCCUGACCAUUUCUUGCUCGAACAAAUUAGUUCCUGAUCACUGCCCCCCACCCCGCCCCCGCCAUGACUCUCUGGUUUGGCAACCAAUCAAUGUUCUCUUUCCUUAUAUGAACUAUCUGUAGCUGUGUAGGCAUGUGGAAGUACGAGACUGUAUAAAACUACCUGCCAUGUUACCAUCGGGGCUCAGCCUUUGGAUGAGAAUCCACUGAGCCGGUUCCAGCAUCAAUAAAGGCUGCUUCCUGCUUAUA